Molecule: long non-coding RNA, 304 nt
Organism: Dendronephthya gigantea
Lineage: Eukaryota; Metazoa; Cnidaria; Anthozoa; Malacalcyonacea; Nephtheidae
Exons: 4
Source: RefSeq, a predicted model, not a curated record
UUCUGGACUUGGCUGGGUGUAUAGAUGUUCAUGUGACAGCAAUCGCUCCAAUUAUCUUCUAUCAUUAAAUGUAUAUGUGCAAGGAACAGCUGAAGAGCUUAAUGAAGAAAAUAAGCCAUGUGAGCACUGCAUGGUAGUAAAACGAUUUAUUGGAAAAAUUGAAGCUGUUGAUGGUUCAUUGCUGGAAGCUGCUAUAGGUAAUCAGGAUGAUGACCAUGAAUAUUUUAAUACAGACAGCAUUUAUGAGUUGCCAUGCAGCAGAAAUGUUGUCUGUUCUUUUGUUCAUGGUAAAUAUUCGUUUGUU